Molecule: unclassified non-coding RNA, 241 nt
Filed under: plant metagenome
Description: partial contains small subunit ribosomal RNA, internal transcribed spacer 1, and 5.8S ribosomal RNA
Source: RNAcentral
UUUCCGUAGGUGAACCUGCGGAAGGAUCAUUCACAAUAAGUGUUUUAUGGCACUUUUUAAACAAUCCAUAUCCACCUUGAGUGAAACGUAAUGAGACACUCUAUCGUUAACUUUUAGGUUACGGAAGGGGAAACGUCUACCACUUACCAACAUCACAAUUAUCUUACUUGUUUGAACAUUUGUUAUCGCGAUUUAACUUAAUGCGAAAUUACAACUUUCAACAACGGAUCUCUUGGCUCUC